Molecule: transfer RNA, 361 nt
Filed under: uncultured Microcystis sp.
Lineage: Bacteria; Bacillati; Cyanobacteriota; Cyanophyceae; Chroococcales; Microcystaceae
Description: partial 16S-23S ribosomal RNA intergenic spacer
Rfam family: tRNA (bases 136-209)
Source: RNAcentral
AAAGGGAGACCUAAUUCAGGUAAAAGACGAAAAAAAAGUAGUCGCUACCAAGAAUCAAUCCCAAAAGGUCGGAGCGAGGCGAAAUUGGCUUUCAAACUAGGUUCUGGGUUCAAACAAGACCUGAAUCAGGAACAAGGGCUAUUAGCUCAGGUGGUUAGAGCGCACCCCCGAUAAGGGUGAGGUCCCUGGUUCGAGUCCAGGAUGGCCCACCUGCACAGGUGGCAAAAACAAGAGAAGCGAGGAAUCAGCACCUUAUCUUACCUAUAUAGUAAGAGAGAAUGCUGGCUCUGAGUAAAGAGUCCAGAGGAACCUUGAAAACUGCAUAGAGCUAGGUGAAAAAGCCAAAAAAGAAGACCGCAAG